AUUGAACGCUGGCGGCAGGCCUAACACAUGCAAGUCGAGCGAGCGGCGGACGGGUGAGUAAUGUUUGGGGACUGCCCGAUAGAGGGGGAUAACUACUGGAUACGGUAGCUAAUACCGCAUAGUAUCGGAUAACGCAUAGGGGCUUGGCUAGUAGGGGAGGUAAUGGCUCACCUAGGCGACGAUCCCUAGCUGGUCUGAGCGGAUGAUCGGCCACACGGGGACUGAGACACGGCCCAGACGCCUGCGGAGGCAGCAGUGGGGAAUAGGGCACAACGGGCGCAAGCCUGAUGCAGCCAUGCCGCGUGUAAGAAGAAGGCCCUAGGGGUGUAAAGUACUUUCAGUCGGGAGGCGUUAGAGAGAGAAGAAGCACCGGCUAACUCCGUGCCAGCAGCCGCGGUAAUUC
This 403-nucleotide ribosomal RNA is filed under the name uncultured bacterium. RNAcentral's name for it is "partial 16S ribosomal RNA". It matches the Rfam family "Bacterial small subunit ribosomal RNA", at positions 29 to 526 of the family's 1533-position model. The record is from RNAcentral.